Long non-coding RNA from Ipomoea triloba (trilobed morning glory), 789 nucleotides. RefSeq lists it as uncharacterized. The transcript is spliced from 2 exons. The record is from RefSeq and is a predicted model, not a curated record. Lineage: Eukaryota; Viridiplantae; Streptophyta; Magnoliopsida; Solanales; Convolvulaceae.
CGUAAGUAGGUUCGCGAAACGGAAGGCGCAGGCAGGUUCGGAUGGCGACUUCGACUGUUCGGCGGACGAUUCUUCAAGGAAAUCAAACGAGCUAUUGAAUUUGAGGUUAAAAUUGUGAGAAGUCAGCCUUUGAUGGGGCUUAUGGGGUGCCCUCUUCUCCAUGUGGCAUGAAUUCUCCACAGCCGUCCACUACAUGGCCGCUUGUGUUGGCAACAUGGUUCUUCAGGCAUUCUCGGUAGCGAAUUAAGGUCGUUGGAUCAGUAUCAGCAAAUCUUUGAGGCAAUACUUGCUAGGUUGUAGCUUUGUUGUUUAGUGAGGAUGGAUCAAGAUCUGUGUUUGAAGGACCUUCAUGCAUAUGAUGAUGCUGUAAUUCUUUUUCCCUCUGGGAAUCCAUCUGAUCAAGGGUUUGCUGGGAUGAUGAUUCUUGGGCCUGCAGGUUGAUUCUUGAAGGUGGAUGUGGACUGAAGCCAUAGACCUUGGAAUCCCUUCAAACUUCUCUUUGCUUCUGGACUCCAUUGAUGCUAAAUCAAGUAACCCUUUUGCUCUUGAAUUCAACUUAGGUAGUGAUGAGACUUAGCUCCACUAACAACCGACAUCCUCCUCUUCGUCCUGUUGUGCAGCCUACACUCUUACUGCCAUUACUGCUUUCUCUUUCUCUUUCUUUCUUUGUUUCUCCUCCCCCACCUAAGUGGGUAGUGGGGGAGUUGAUGGGAUGUUACCUUUGGUUUGCCUGGCUGUAUUGGAAUUUCAACAAAUAUGGAUAAUGGAACCUUAAUUAAGCGUGUUUUA